Molecule: ribosomal RNA, 254 nt
Filed under: uncultured bacterium
Lineage: Bacteria
Description: partial 16S ribosomal RNA
Rfam family: Bacterial small subunit ribosomal RNA
Source: RNAcentral
UACGGAGGGUGCGAGCGUUGUCCGGAAUCACUGGGCGUAAAGGGCGCGUAGGCGGCCCGCGCAAGCGUGCGGUGAAAGCCCGGGGCUCAACCCCGGGUCGGCCGUGCGGACUGCGGGGCUCGAGCACUGUAGGGGCAGAUGGAAUUCCGGGUGUAGCGGUGGAAUGCGUAGAGAUCCGGAAGAACACCGGUGGCGAAGGCGGUCUGCUGGGCAGUAGCUGACGCUGAGGCGCGAAAGCGUGGGGAGCAAACAGG